CGCACCUUCGGGUGAGCGGCGGACGGGUUAGUAACGCGUGGGAAUAUACCCAGAUCUACGGAAUAGCCUCGGGAAACUGAGAGUAAUACCGUAUACGCCCUUCGGGGGAAAGAUUUAUCGGAUUUGGAUUAGCCCGCGUUAGAUUAGAUAGUUGGUGAGGUAACGGCUCACCAAGUCUACGAUCUAUAGCUGGUUUUAGAGGAUGAUCAGCAACACUGGGACUGAGACACGGCCCAGACUCCUACGGGAGGCAGCAGUGGGGAAUCUUGGACAAUGGGCGCAAGCCUGAUCCAGCCAUGCCGCGUGUGUGAUGAAGGCCUUAGGGUCGUAAAGCACUUUCGCCAGAGAUGAUAAUGACAGUAUCUGGUAAAGAAACCCCGGCUAACUCCGUGCCAGCAGCCGCGGUAAUACGGAGGGGGUUAGCGUUGUUCGGAAUUACUGGGCGUAAAGCGUACGUAGGCGGAUUAGAAAGUAUGGGGUGAAAUCCCAGGGCUCAACCCUGGAACUGCCUCAUAAACUCCUAGUCUAGAGUUCGAGAGAGGUGAGUGGAAUUCCGAGUGUAGAGGUGAAAUUCGUAGAUAUUCGGAGGAACACCAGUGGCGAAGGCGGCUCACUGGCUCGAUACUGACGCUGAGUACGA
Molecule: ribosomal RNA, 640 nt
Filed under: Pelagimonas phthalicica
Lineage: Bacteria; Pseudomonadati; Pseudomonadota; Alphaproteobacteria; Rhodobacterales; Roseobacteraceae
Description: bacterial SSU rRNA
Rfam family: Bacterial small subunit ribosomal RNA
Source: RNAcentral